AUGUCAAAGUGUGACAUCACGCUGGAGCAUCCAGUAGGGGGUUGUCGUCGUCGUCGUCGCCAUUUCGACCUGACCCGUUGCCUCCGGCGUGGCCGAUCUGUUGUUCCUAGGGUAUGGUGGACGACCAGUUCCGGCAGCUGCAGUCGCUGCAGGAGGAUGGCGGCAGCGCGUCGGGCUUCGUCGCCGGGGUCGCCACCCUCUUCAUCGACGAUGCCGACGGGAUCAUCAACGACAUCGGCAGCCUGCUGGACGCCGGCGGAACCUAGCCACCACUCCCCGCCGCGCCCCUCGUUGGUUACUUGCCGUGCUCGAUUUUUCCUUCCACGGACAAUUCUGUCAUUCGCCUCUACUGCCGGUGGUCGUGCCAGUCAUGCUCCUAUUGGUUCUUUGUGA
This 393-nucleotide ribosomal RNA is filed under the name Triticum aestivum (bread wheat). RNAcentral describes it as "partial small subunit ribosomal RNA". The record is from RNAcentral. Lineage: Eukaryota; Viridiplantae; Streptophyta; Magnoliopsida; Poales; Poaceae.